CCGCUAUCGGGGUAGGGCUAAGCCAUGGGAGUCUUACACUCCCGGGAAGAGGGCGUGGCGGACGGCUGAGUAACACGUGGCUAACCUAACCUUGGGUCUCGGAUAACCCCGGGAAACUGGGGCUAAUCCGGGGCAGAUAAGGAGAUCUGGAACGACUCCUUAUCUAAAGGCUUCUCGGCUGCUCCCGUCGAGAGGUGCCCAAGGAUGGGACUGCGGCCCAUCAGGCUGUUGGGGGAGUAAAGGUCCCCCAAACCUAUAACGGGUAGGGGCCGUGGGAGCGGGAGCCCCCAGUUGGGCACUGAGACAAGGGCCCAGGCCCUACGGGGCGCACCAGGCGCGGAACGUCCCCAAUGCGGGAAACCGUGAGGGCGUUACCCCUAGUGCCCUCGCAAGAGGGCUUUUCUCCACUCCAGAAAGGUGGAGGAAUAAGCGGGGGGCAAGACUGGUGUCAGCCGCCGCGGUAAAACCAGC
Molecule: ribosomal RNA, 471 nt
Filed under: uncultured crenarchaeote
Lineage: Archaea; Thermoproteati; Thermoproteota
Description: bacterial SSU rRNA
Rfam family: Archaeal small subunit ribosomal RNA
Source: RNAcentral